CACACCGCCCGUCGCUACUACCGAUUGAACGUUUUAGUGAGAAAUCUGGAUUCGACCUCCUUGGGUUCAUUCCCACGGUGCUGUCGGAGAAGUUUUUCAAACUUGAGCGUUUAGAGGAAGUAAAAGUCGUAACAAGGUAGCUGUAGGUGAACCUGCAGCUGGAUCAUUAUUGA
RNAcentral lists this ribosomal RNA (173 nucleotides) under Oncaea mediterranea. RNAcentral describes it as "partial 18S ribosomal RNA". It matches the Rfam family "Eukaryotic small subunit ribosomal RNA", at positions 1665 to 1831 of the family's 1831-position model. Lineage: Eukaryota; Metazoa; Arthropoda; Copepoda; Poecilostomatoida; Oncaeidae. The record is from RNAcentral.